RNAcentral lists this unclassified non-coding RNA (405 nucleotides) under soil metagenome. RNAcentral's name for it is "partial contains 5.8S ribosomal RNA, internal transcribed spacer 2, and large subunit ribosomal RNA". The stretch from base 1 to 121 matches the Rfam family "5.8S ribosomal RNA", at positions 35 to 154 of the family's 154-position model. The record is from RNAcentral.
GAUGAAGAACGCAGCGAAAUGCGAUAAGUAAUGUGAAUUGCAGAAUUCAGUGAAUCAUCGAAUCUUUGAACGCACCUUGCGCCCUUUGGCCAUUCCGAAGGGCAUGCCUGUUUGAGUAUCAUGAACACCUCAACUCUUUAUGGUUUUCCAUGAUGAGCUUGGACUCUGGGGGUUUUGCUGGCUCACAGUCGGCUCCUCUAAAAUGAAUCAGCUUACCAGUGUUUGGUGGGUAUCAUGGGUGUGAUAACUAUCUACGCUUGUGGUUUUUCCACCAGGUAACCUUCAGCAGUGGAGGUUCGCUGGAGCUCAUAGAUGUCUCUCCUCAGUGAGGACAGCCCAUUGAAUGUUUGAUCUCAAAUCAGGUAGGACUACCCGCUGAACUUAAGCAUAUCAAUAAGCGGAGGA